Molecule: long non-coding RNA, 1403 nt
Organism: Triticum urartu
Lineage: Eukaryota; Viridiplantae; Streptophyta; Magnoliopsida; Poales; Poaceae
Source: RefSeq, a predicted model, not a curated record
GCCGCCGGCUUGUCCCAGUCCCGUCUCGUUUCCCGUACCACUCCCCUCUCACUCUCUCUCCGCCGCUUUCCAAUGCCGGCGAUGCUGCAGUAAAUCCUCCGGCGAAGGCGGCCGCGGCCCUGCUCGGUCGAUCCCUCCCACCCCAUGUCCAAGGUUUGAGCAGCUGGUGGCUGCUCCACCUUCCCGGCGUCUCACCGGCAGGCGGUCGUGCCAACAUUUCGUUCGAACCAUCAUGCUCGAUUCGCCUCCUCCCGCGACGCCAGCAUGUGUUGAGAGGAGGUUGGUAGGAGAAAAUGCAAGUCUGCAAAAUAUGCACAGAGAGGGACAGGAGGCUGGGAUAAGGAAGCGGCUCCGAGAAGUCAAUUUUUUGCCAUCUUGGUACUCACAAUCAUGGGUAUCUAUGGUGCUCUUGAUGGGCUCCCAGCCUCAGGCUCCACGCUUCCCUUAGUGUUGAAUGGAUAUUGCAAAACUAACAGGUUGAUGGAUCUUGGGGCGUCAACGAAUUUGGCUUAUCAGACAAAAAGACUAUUCUCCUGUCCACAUCAGGGGCGGAGCCAGAAAAUUUGGCCAAUGGGUUCACUUGUUAGCUCAUUGUGAGGACUGGGUAAAGUCAUUGUAACAAAUAGAGAUAUGCUACUCACUCUGAGCCAUAUUAAUUUUGAGAGUACCUAACCAUAUUAAUUGACGCUGGUUUAGUACUCAUUGAAGAGUGCAAGACGUACCAGUUUGAUGAAAUUAUAAAGUCACUUGUUUAAAUUUUAUAAAUAGAGUCACGAAUAUAGCUCCCUAGCUUUAGGACCAACUUCUCAACUUCCAGAAAAGAUUAAAAAAAACACAUUAGUUUGACAAGUUUCAAGUAAACUACCAUGAAGUGAAAGCUGCAUGUAAAUUUACUCACAUUUCAGAGUGCACCCUUCGGAUCUUUCAUCAUCUGAAAAAAAUAGUUUAUCUAUGCAUAAAAGGCUUUGGGAGAUCAUAUAAAUUAAUUCCUCAGAAUAGAAGGUUUGGGGGAUUAAUCAACAGAAUUUAACACACCUACAUCUGGUGGGUAGGCUUGAAGUCCUUAUACAUCAUUAUCUGAAUCCGAUGAUGAUCAAUUUCUAUUUGAUAAAUAUUCGCACCAUAGCCUAGGUCAAUCAAAGUUCAGAUGAAAUAUAGUUAGAAAACUAGGGCAAAGGUUAAUUUCGUGCUAGGAUAAGACCUGCACAAGAAGGACGAUGUGGUCUCAUUACCUUCAGUUUGGAUUUCAAUUGCCGGUCGCUGCUGACGGCUGACCUGGUGUUCUCAGCUAGUCGGCUUGCCGCUGGCCGUCGGCGAUCCGGCGCCGCCAUGCGCGAACAUAGAGACGAGAGACCAAGAGACGAUGUAAAUCGGGGAAACGUACUGCGGAAACGAGAGGCGCG